UGCGUAGGGACCGAGCGUUGUCCGGAUUCAUUGGGCGUAAAGAGCUCGUAGGCGGCCACUCAAGUCGAAUGUGAAAACUCGAGGCUCAACCUCGAGCCUGCAUUCGAUACUGGGCGGCUAGAGUCUGGUAGGGGGAUCUGGAAUUCCUGGUGUAGCGGUGGAAUGCGCAGAUAUCAGGAGGAACACCGGUGGCGAAGGCGGGAUCCUGGGCCAGUACUGACGCUGAGGAGCGAAAGCGUGAGGAGCAAACAGG
RNAcentral lists this ribosomal RNA (253 nucleotides) under uncultured bacterium. RNAcentral describes it as "partial 16S ribosomal RNA". It matches the Rfam family "Bacterial small subunit ribosomal RNA", at positions 524 to 776 of the family's 1533-position model. The record is from RNAcentral.